This 459-nucleotide ribosomal RNA is filed under the name uncultured bacterium. RNAcentral describes it as "bacterial SSU rRNA". It matches the Rfam family "Bacterial small subunit ribosomal RNA", at positions 215 to 684 of the family's 1533-position model. The record is from RNAcentral.
UCGGUAUGGGAUGGGGUCGCGUCCUAUCAGGUAGUCGGCGGGGUAACGGCCCACCGAGCCUACGACGGGUAGCCGGCCUGAGAGGGCGACCGGCCACAUUGGGACUGAGAUACGGCCCAGACUCCUACGGGAGGCAGCAGUGGGGAAUAUUGCACAAUGGGCGCAAGCCUGAUGCAGCGACGCCGCGUGCGGGAUGACGGCCUUCGGGUUGUAAACCGCUUUUGAUCGGGAGCAAGCCUUCGGGUGAGUGUACCUUUCGAAUAAGCACCGGCUAACUACGUGCCAGCAGCCGCGGUAAUACGUAGGGUGCAAGCGUUAUCCGGAAUUAUUGGGCGUAAAGGGCUCGUAGGCGGUUCGUCGCGUCCGGUGUGAAAGUCCAUCGCUUAACGGUGGAUCUGCGCCGGGUACGGGCGGGCUGGAGUGCGGUAGGGGAGACUGGAAUUCCCGGUGUAACGGUGG